CAGCUUUCUCGCCAUGAUCGAUUACAAUCGAUUACGAUUCCAUUUUAAGCGCAAAAUUAUAAUCGCCAACAAUACUAACGAACGCGGCUCUCAUCACCAAAACAGUCACUAACGUCGAUUCCGCAAUGCACGACCACAAAUCAACCGGCUCAGGCGCAAAUCAACUGAAACAAGGGUGAACUCGAAUUAGUCAAGUACAUCCGGAUGAAGUCGCGACGGAUUGGCAAGGCCAUUAUGACCAAUCGCUUAUUGCAACUAGACAGCCAAUGGACUUCAAAUCGGGCAUGAAGCUGGAGGUGGUGGAUCGCUAGAAUCAAAUGCUCAUUCGGCCGACAACGGACGUGGCCACGGACGGGUGCAACAUUAAAAUAUGCUUCAAUGAUUGACCAAAUUUUACCACUUACUCUUCUGGAUCGAGGACUAUAGCUUGGACAUUCACCCGAUGAACUGGUGUAAGAGGACCUACCGUACAAUCGAAUUUUCAUGAGAUCAUCGACCUGCGUGUAUUAAAAGCAUCUGUAAAGUUUUAUUCUGCCUGGGAAAGGGGAAUGUCAAAUUUCUAUUUAUUAAAACGUCAAACCAAGAAUAUUAAAAAUAAAAUCGGGAAUUCCUUCGAAAA
This is a long non-coding RNA of Armigeres subalbatus, 619 nucleotides long. RefSeq lists it as uncharacterized. The record is from RefSeq and is a predicted model, not a curated record. The transcript is spliced from 2 exons. Lineage: Eukaryota; Metazoa; Arthropoda; Insecta; Diptera; Culicidae.